CGGCGUGCUUAACACAUGCAAGUCGAGCGAGAUGUAUAUAUUGGAAUCUUCGGAUGAAGAUAAAUAUAUCUAGCGGCGGACGGGUGAGUAACGCGUGGGAAACCUGCCCUAUACAGGGGGAUAGCCUCGGGAAACUGGGAUUAAUACCCCAUAACACUAUUUAGUCGCAUGGCAAAAUAGUCAAAACUCCGGUGGUAUAGGAUGGUCCCGCGUCCCAUUAGCUAGUUGGUGAGGUAACGGCUCACCAAGGCGACGAUGGGUAGCCGGCCUGAGAGGGUGAACGGCCACACUGGAACUGAGACACGGUCCAGACUCCUACGGGAGGCAGCAGUGGGGAAUAUUGCACAAUGGGCGAAAGCCUGAUGCAGCGACGCCGCGUGAGCGAAGAAGGCCUUCGGGUUGUAAACUCCUGUCAGAGGUGAAGAAUGCCCUUUAGGGGGGUUUGGCGGUAACCUCAGAGGAAGCCCCGGCUAACUACGUG
This 481-nucleotide ribosomal RNA is filed under the name uncultured bacterium. RNAcentral's name for it is "bacterial SSU rRNA". It matches the Rfam family "Bacterial small subunit ribosomal RNA", at positions 40 to 507 of the family's 1533-position model. The record is from RNAcentral.